UGGCAAAAUAUCAUAUGUGGCCUUUUAUUGCUGCCAUUUUGUCCAUUAUCAGUUCCGUUUUUUAUAAUUAUUUAACAUUUAGAAAGCAGAGUAGGCUGAGCAAGUCAGUUGAGGAUCUUAAAUCGCAUUCUGGGAGUGGAAUGCCCAAAAAGAAGAAAAGUAAGAGAUCAGGAAACAAUAGGAACAGUCCCAAUGAUGAGAGAAGGGAGAAAUAUCUCCCUCGUGAGAAUAAAGCUGGAAACAGCACUGGAGGUUCACUCAUGGAAGAGAAUUGCGGGCGCAGGAUUGGUAAGUUACUUGUUUCUAACAAAGAAAUUGCUAAGGGGAGUAAUGGUACAGUUGUGCUUGAGGGA
This 353-nucleotide unclassified non-coding RNA is filed under the name Hevea brasiliensis (rubber tree). The record is from RNAcentral. Lineage: Eukaryota; Viridiplantae; Streptophyta; Magnoliopsida; Malpighiales; Euphorbiaceae.